CGUGAACUGUGGGGACACGUAAGGAAAGCGGAAGCCGGGAAUGGAAAGCCCGGUGCAAGCGGGGUACCAGCCACUUUGGCAAAUCCGGGUGGCAAUGGGAAGCCGUGAUGCGGAGCGAAAUAAAGUAGCGAAGUCCGUGAGCCAUGCGUCAAGAAAAGCCGCUAUUGUUUAUACCGUACCCGUACCGUAAACCGACACAGGUGGAUGAGGAGAGAAUCCUAAGGCCGGCGGAAGAAGCAUUGUCAAGGAACUCGGCAAAAUGGCCCCGUAACUUAGGGAUAAGGGGUGCCUGGGAAACCAGGCCGCAGAGAAUAGGCUCAAGCAACUGUUUAGCAAAAACACAGGUCUAUGCGAAACCGAAAGGUGAGGUAUAUGGGCUGACGCCUGCCCGGUGCUGGAAGGUUAAGAGGAGAGGUUAGCGCAAGCGAAGCUUUGAAUUUAAGCCCCAGUAAACGGCGGCCGUAACAAUAACGGUCCUAAGGUAGCGAAAUUCCUUGUCGGGUAAGUUCCGACCCGCACGAAAGGCGUAAUGAUUUGAGCGCUGUCUCGACAAUGCAUCCGGUGAAAUUGAAGUACCAGUGAAGAUGCUGGUUACCUGCGCCAGGACGGAAAGACCCCAUGGAGCUUUACUCCAGUCUGGUACUGGGACUCGGUAUUGCAUGUACAGGAUAGGUGGGAGGCUAGGAGAUGGUAACGCCAGUUGCCAUGGAGCCGCUGUUGGGAUACCACCCUUGCAGUAUUGGGUUUCUAACCAGCCGCCGUGACCCGGCGGUGGGACAAUGCCAGACGGGGAGUUUGACUGGGGCGGUCGCCUCCGAAAGGGUAUCGGAGGCGCCCAAAGGUUCCCUCAGAAUGGACGGAAACCAUUCGAAGAGUGCAAAGGCAGAAGGGAGCUUGACUGCGACACCGACGGGUGGAGCAGGUACGAAAGUAGGGCUUAGUGAUCCGGUGGUAUUAAGUGGGAAUGCCAACGCUCAACGGAUAAAAGCUACCCUGGAUAACAGGCCUAUCACUCCCAAGAGCUCACAUCGACGGAGUGGUUUGGCACCUCGAUGUCGGCUCAUCGCAUCCUGGGGCUGUAGUAGGUCCCAAGGGUUGGGCUGUUCGCCCAUUAAAGCGGUACGCGAGCUGGGUUCAGAACGUCGUGAGACAGUUCGGUCCCUAUCCGGCGUGGGCGUAGGAUAUCUGAGAGGAGCUGUCCUUAGUACGAGAGGACCGGGAUGGACGGGCCGCUGGUGCAUCGGUUAGACUGCCAAGUCUACGGCCGAGUAGCCAAGCCCGGAAGGGAUAAACGCUGAAGGCAUCUAAGCGUGAAGCCCCCCUUAAGAUGAGAUAUCCCAUUCGAAAGAAGUAAACCCCCUUGAAGACGACGAGGUAGAUAGGGCAGAGGUGGAAGUGCAGCAAUGCAUGGAGCUGACUGUUACUAAUCGGGUGAGGGCUUGACC
This 1445-nucleotide ribosomal RNA is filed under the name metagenome. RNAcentral's name for it is "bacterial LSU rRNA". It matches the Rfam family "Bacterial large subunit ribosomal RNA", at positions 1458 to 2925 of the family's 2925-position model. The record is from RNAcentral.